RNAcentral lists this ribosomal RNA (253 nucleotides) under Lachnospira eligens. Its description in RNAcentral is "partial 16S ribosomal RNA". It matches the Rfam family "Bacterial small subunit ribosomal RNA", at positions 524 to 776 of the family's 1533-position model. The record is from RNAcentral. Lineage: Bacteria; Bacillati; Bacillota; Clostridia; Lachnospirales; Lachnospiraceae.
UACGUAUGGAGCAAGCGUUAUCCGGAUUUACUGGGUGUAAAGGGAGUGUAGGUGGCCGUGCAAGUCAGAAGUGAAAAUCCGGGGCUCAACCCCGGAACUGCUUUUGAAACUGUAAGGCUGGAGUGCAGGAGGGGUGAGUGGAAUUCCUAGUGUAGCGGUGAAAUGCGUAGAUAUUAGGAGGAACACCAGUGGCGAAGGCGGCUCACUGGACUGUAACUGACACUGAGGCUCGAAAGCGUGGGGAGCAAACAGG